Molecule: ribosomal RNA, 508 nt
Filed under: uncultured bacterium
Lineage: Bacteria
Description: bacterial SSU rRNA
Rfam family: Bacterial small subunit ribosomal RNA
Source: RNAcentral
GAUGAACGCUAGCGGGAGGCUUAACACAUGCAAGUCGAGGGGCAGCAUAGGGUAGCAAUACUCUGAUGGCGACCGGCAAACGGGUGAGUAACGCGUAUGCAACCUACCCUGUACAGGGGGAUAACCCGGAGAAAUUCGGACUAAUAUCCCGUAAUAAUAUCCGGAGGCAUCUUUGGAUAUUUAAAGUUCCGACGGUACGGGAUGGGCAUGCGUAACAUUAACUGGUUGGUAAGGUAACGGCUUACCAAGGCUAUGAUGUUUAGGGGUCCUGAGAGGGUGGUCCCCCACACUGGUACUGAGACACGGACCAGACUCCUACGGGAGGCAGCAGUGAGGAAUAUUGGUCAAUGGGCGCAAGCCUGAACCAGCCAUCCCGCGUGCAGGAAGACGGCCCUAUGGGCUGUAAACUGCUUUUCCAGGGAGAGAAACUUACGCACGUGUUGCGUGACUGACGGUACCUGGGAAUAAGCAUCGGCUAACUCGUGCCAGCAGCCGCGGUAAUCACGAG